UUAGUUGCCAGCAUUCAGUUGGGCACUCUAAGGUGACUGCCGGUGACAAACCGGAGGAAGGUGGGGAUGACGUCAAAUCAUCAUGCCCCUUAUGACCUGGGCUACACACGUGCUACAAUGGACAGAACAAAGGGCAGCGAAACCGCGAGGUUAAGCCAAUCCCACAAAUCUGUUCUCAGUUCGGAUCGCAGUCUGCAACUCGACUGCGUGAAGCUGGAAUCGCUAGUAAUCGCGGAUCAGCAUGCCGCGGUGAAUACGUUCCCGGGCCUUGUACACACCGCCCGUCACACCACGAGAGUUUGUAACACCCGAAGUCGGUG
RNAcentral lists this ribosomal RNA (320 nucleotides) under Bacillus velezensis. Its description in RNAcentral is "bacterial SSU rRNA". It matches the Rfam family "Bacterial small subunit ribosomal RNA", at positions 1111 to 1432 of the family's 1533-position model. The record is from RNAcentral. Lineage: Bacteria; Bacillati; Bacillota; Bacilli; Caryophanales; Bacillaceae.